AGUCGAGCGGAUGAGAGGAGCUUGCNNNNGGAUUCAGCGGCGGACGGGUGAGUAAUGCCUAGGAAUCUGCCUGGUAGUGGGGGAAACGUUUCGAAAGGAACGCUAAUACCGCAUACGUCCUACGGGAGAAAGCAGGGGACCUUCGGGCCUUGCGCUAUCAGAUGAGCCUAGGUCGGAUUAGCUAGUUGGUGAGGUAAUGGCUCACCAAGGCGACGAUCCGUAACUGGUCUGAGAGGAUGAUCAGUCACACUGGAACUGAGACACGGUCCAGACUCCUACGGGAGGCAGCAGUGGGGAAUAUUGGACAAUGGGCGAAACGUGAUCCAGCCAUGCCGCGUGUGUGAAGAAGGUCUUCGGAUUGUAAAGCACUUUAAGUUGGGAGGAAGGGCCGUAGAUUAAUACUCUGCUGUUUUGACGUUACCGACAGAAUAAGCACCGGCUAACAUCUGUGCCAGCAGCCGCGGUAAUACAGAGGGUGCAAGCGUUAAUCGGAAUUACUGGGCGUAAAGCGCGCGUAGGUGGUUCGUUAAGUUGGAUGUGAAAUCCCCGGGCUCAACCUGGGAACUGCAUUCAAAACUGUCGAGCUAGAGUAUUGGUAGAG
Molecule: ribosomal RNA, 601 nt
Filed under: Pseudomonas sp. SEL2-1-4
Lineage: Bacteria; Pseudomonadati; Pseudomonadota; Gammaproteobacteria; Pseudomonadales; Pseudomonadaceae
Description: bacterial SSU rRNA
Rfam family: Bacterial small subunit ribosomal RNA
Source: RNAcentral